GCGGGCGUAGCUCAGUGGUAGAGCACAACCUUGCCAAGGUUGGGGUCGCGGGUUCGAAUCCCGUCGCCCGCUCCA
This 75-nucleotide transfer RNA is filed under the name bacterium. Its description in RNAcentral is "tRNA-Gly". It matches the Rfam family "tRNA". From Rfam's summary of the family: Transfer RNA (tRNA) molecules are approximately 80 nucleotides in length. RNAcentral also lists the same sequence under 5 other names. The record is from RNAcentral.